This is a non-coding RNA of Desulfurella amilsii, 76 nucleotides long. The record is from Rfam. Lineage: Bacteria; Pseudomonadati; Campylobacterota; Desulfurellia; Desulfurellales; Desulfurellaceae.
AAGAGCCGUAUGAAUCGAGAGGUUCACGUACGGUUCCGUGAGAGGCUGAAGGUGAAAUUCCUUCGGCCUACUCGAC